UGCAAGUCGGACGGGAUUCAGGGAGUAGCUUGCUACGAACUGAUGAGAGUGGCGCACGGGUGCGUAACGCGUGAGCAACCUACCCAUAUCAGGGGGAUAGCCUCUCGAAAGAGAGAUUAACACCGCAUAACAUCAUUUACCGGCAUCGGUUUUUGAUCAAAUAUUUAUAGGAUAUGGAUGGGCUCGCGUGACAUUAGCUAGUUGGAGAGGUAACGGCUCACCAAGGCUACGAUGUCUAGGGGCUCUGAGAGGAGAAUCCCCCACACUGGUACUGAGACACGGACCAGACUCCUACGGGAGGCAGCAGUAAGGAAUAUUGGUCAAUGGAGGCAACUCUGAACCAGCCAUGCCGCGUGCAGGAUGACUGCCCUAUGGGUUGUAAACUGCUUUUGUCAGGGAAUAAACCUUUCUACGUGUAGGAAGCUGAAUGUACCUGAAGAAUAAGGAUCGGCUAACUCCGUGCCAGCAGCCGCGGUAAUACGGAGGAUCCAAGCGUUAUCCGGAUUUAUUGGGUUUAAAGGGUGCGUAGGCGGUCCUAUAAGUCAGUGGUGAAAGACGGCAGCUUAACUGUCGCAGUGCCUUUGAUACUGUAGGACUUGAAUCUAUUUGAAGUGGGCGGAAUAAGACAAGUAGCGGUGAAAUGCAUAGAUAUGUCUUAGAACUCCGAUUGCGAAGGCAGCUCACUAAGUUAGUAUUGACGCUGAUGCACGAAAGCGUGGGGAUCAAACAGGAUUAGAUACCCUGGUAGUCCACGCCCUAAACGAUGAUAACUCGAUGUUUGCGAUACACAGUAAGCGUCCAAGCGAAAGCGUUAAGUUAUCCACCUGGGGAGUACGGUCGCAAGAUUGAAACUCAAAGGAAUUGACGGGGGCCCGCACAAGCGGAGGAGCAUGUGGUUUAAUUCGAUGAUACGCGAGGAACCUUACCCGGGCUUGAAAGUUAGUGAAUGAUCCA
RNAcentral lists this ribosomal RNA (954 nucleotides) under Sphingobacterium kitahiroshimense. Its description in RNAcentral is "bacterial SSU rRNA". It matches the Rfam family "Bacterial small subunit ribosomal RNA", at positions 56 to 1002 of the family's 1533-position model. The record is from RNAcentral. Lineage: Bacteria; Pseudomonadati; Bacteroidota; Sphingobacteriia; Sphingobacteriales; Sphingobacteriaceae.